Dreissena polymorpha is the source of this 797-nucleotide long non-coding RNA. RefSeq lists it as uncharacterized. The transcript is spliced from 4 exons. The record is from RefSeq and is a predicted model, not a curated record. Lineage: Eukaryota; Metazoa; Mollusca; Bivalvia; Myida; Dreissenidae.
CCGGUUUAAACACAGAAGUUAUUAUAAUUUUGGCAGCAGCGGGUGUGGCGGUUAUUAUUGUAAUUAAUUUGUCUUUCUGCGUUUAUUGGAAAUAUAAACCGCGUCAAAUUGAAAUCAACAAUCCUGCUACUGGAAUAGACAUUACUACACAUCAACAAAAUAGGGCGAUGACUGCGAGCGCUUCAGAUAUGUAUGACGACGAGAACACUGAUUUUCAUUACCACGAAAUAUCAGAAAUACAGAUACCAAUUACAGAUAUUGUCACACGAUCAAAUACUUUCAUCAGAGAAGCUUACGAUGAAAAUGAACCAACGUUCGUAAACAGUGAACUAUCUCGUCAGAUGAUCAGCAGAACAGGAAUGAGUUUAACAAGUUCUGGGACUGGGGACACGCUCAAUGAUACCCAUGAACCAAUUACUUUUUUGACAUUGGCUGACGUUAUUGCGAUUGAAUCAGAAACAGAUAGAACUGACGUAAAGAGUGUUCGUUACGAGAGUCUAGAUCCAACUGGACAGGCUGAUAAGUCGCAAUACACCACUCUGGUUUAAUAUUUAAUAACAGGUAGAUCUACGUAUAUUGCUACAUUAGUAUAUUCAUGUAAUGUAAAUAAAAUACGUAUACGUAUAUACAUUGCCUGUCCUUUGAGCUACACUGUGCAAACCUAUUCCAAGAUCAUACAUGUGUUAACCUUUUUUUUGUAGAGAAUUGUUAUAUCAAUAAAAUGUUUCAGUUGAUAAUAAUUAUUAUUAUGCGUGACGUAUUGUCAAAAUUGUUUGAAUAAACAUAUGUUAUUUGUU